RNAcentral lists this ribosomal RNA (247 nucleotides) under uncultured bacterium. RNAcentral describes it as "partial 16S ribosomal RNA". It matches the Rfam family "Bacterial small subunit ribosomal RNA", at positions 15 to 253 of the family's 1533-position model. The record is from RNAcentral.
GAUCAUGGCUCGGGAUGAACGCUAGCUACAGGCUUAACACAUGCAAGUCGAGGGGCAGCGGGAUUGAAGCUUGCUUCAAUUGCCGGCGACCGGCGCACGGGUGAGUAACGCGUAUCCAACCUUCCGUACACUCAGGGAUAGCCUUUCGAAAGAAAGAUUAAUACCUGAUGGUAUCUUAAGCACACAUGUAAUUAAGAUUAAAGAUUUAUCGGUGUACGAUGGGGAUGCGUUCCAUUAGGUAGUAGGG